GAACGCACUCAUUUUCAACUAUACAGUAUUCAUUAAAGUUAUUUGUAAAACUUUGCUUUGCACUAAACGAACUAUCUUAUUAUCGUAUAUUUGUGGUUGUAAUACUGACAUUUCUUUGCUGUCAGAUCAUUAAACAAUCUUAAUCUCGAAUAUUUCUAGUGUCAAAUAAUAAACAAUCGAGUGUUUAUAAAUAAAAAGCAGUGAACAAAUAGCGAUUUAAACAUUUCUAUUUCGAAACAAUUUACAUAGGAGAAAACUACUUCACACAUAAAAUACAAUGGAUGAAUUCAAGGGGUUUUUCAAGCAAGCCGGAAGGCAAAUUUUCAAUGAAGCUGUAAAUGCAGCCGGCCAGUAUAUUGGAAAUGCUAUCCAGGAAAUGCUUGUUGUGAAAAAAGAAACUGAGCAUCCAAGAAUUUUACCUAGCUUGGAGCAUAUGAAAAUUGUAAGUAUUAAAUGGAUCUCUAAUCGUUUAUUUUGAAAAUUGUGUUUAUUAUACGAUAUUCUGAAAUGAAAUAGAAAAUAAAGACAUCCGUUCGAAUUUUCUGUUGAGGAAUUGUUUAAAACCUACACCAAGGUCACUUUCUUCGUAUACAAAUACAUGGGAAAGA
Molecule: long non-coding RNA, 608 nt
Organism: Sitodiplosis mosellana (orange wheat blossom midge)
Lineage: Eukaryota; Metazoa; Arthropoda; Insecta; Diptera; Cecidomyiidae
Exons: 3
Source: RefSeq, a predicted model, not a curated record